This 85-nucleotide transfer RNA is filed under the name Pseudomonadales bacterium. Its description in RNAcentral is "tRNA-Ser". It matches the Rfam family "tRNA". Rfam says of the family: Transfer RNA (tRNA) molecules are approximately 80 nucleotides in length. Their secondary structure includes four short double-helical elements and three loops (D, anti-codon, and T loops). The record is from RNAcentral. Lineage: Bacteria; Pseudomonadati; Pseudomonadota; Gammaproteobacteria; Pseudomonadales.
GGAAGGUUGUCAGAGUGGUAAUGAGUCGGUCUUGAAAACCGUAGCCGUCCGAAAGGGCGCGGGGGUUCGAUCCCCUCACCUUCCG